Long non-coding RNA from Lemur catta (Ring-tailed lemur), 496 nucleotides. RefSeq lists it as uncharacterized. The transcript has 3 exons. Lineage: Eukaryota; Metazoa; Chordata; Mammalia; Primates; Lemuridae. The record is from RefSeq and is a predicted model, not a curated record.
GCACGUUGCGGACGUAGGCACGCCGGCGUGUACGUCUGUCUCCAUCUUUGGACGUGAGCUGUCCCGGCAAGGCGGAAAUGGUGCCGUGAUGGGUUUUGUCUUAACUCCCGCCCACAGGGUUUGGGUUUCUGGCUGUGCGUCAGUUUCUUGGAAAUCUUUGUGGAAAGUUAAUGGUAUAUGAGAGCUCUUUGCAGUCUGUGGCUUAUAUAAAAACAGUACUUGUGAAAGCCAAAGGGAAAGGAAUAGAGACUUUUAAGCAGAUAUUCUGAGAGAAACAGCAGUGGACCGGGGAAUACAAGAAAGAUUGUCAGGAGUAGCCAAGAUUCUAUGAACCUGCAGAACAAUCUUUAAAAAAAAUCAUCAGAAGAAAGGAAUUUGUAGAAAUAAAACCGGAAACCACCAGAAUCUUGAUGGUGUGCUAAACCAAAUGUCAACUGGAGCUCCACCAAAAUCUAAAGUAAGUAGCUUUAUUACGGACUACCAUGGUGUGAGCAUC